RNAcentral lists this ribosomal RNA (402 nucleotides) under uncultured bacterium. RNAcentral describes it as "bacterial SSU rRNA". It matches the Rfam family "Bacterial small subunit ribosomal RNA", at positions 355 to 774 of the family's 1533-position model. The record is from RNAcentral.
UGGGGAAUAUUGCACAAUGGGCGAAAGCCUGAUGCAGCAACGCCGCGUGAGUGAUGAAGGCCUUCGGGUUGUAAAGCUCUGUCUUCUGGGACGAUAAUGACGGUACCAGAGGAGGAAGCCACGGCUAACUACGUGCCAGCAGCCGCGGUAAUACGUAGGUGGCAAGCGUUGUCCGGAUUUACUGGGCGUAAAGGAUGCGUAGGCGGAUACUUAAGUCAGAUGUGAAAAUCCCGGGCUUAACUUGGGAACUGCAUUUGAAACUGGGGAUCUAGAGUGCGGGAGAGGAUAGUGGAAUUCCUAGUGUAGCGGUGAAAUGCGUAGAGAUUAGGAAGAACACCAGUGGCGAAGGCGACUUUCUGGACCGUAACUGACGCUGAGGCAUGAAAGCGUGGGGAGCAAACA